GGUGGCACUGGCAUGGGAGGGUGGGAGAGUUCAGGGCAAAAUGGAUGAAGGGCUAGGAUCAAACAUAUAUGAGACAGAUAAUUACAUACACUUUGUACUGAUACAACAAAUUCUACGCAAUUGGCACUUUCAUCCUUAAUUAAUGGCCACAAAAUACAUUUUUUCAUACCCUGGAUUUUGCAGUAUAAUGGCAGAAUAUUUUUUACCACAAUCAAUAUAUGAGAAACAAUCAUCUUAACUGGUGGGGGAGUGUAAGUAUUAUAAUUAUAACUUAAUUUUUUCUUUCAACAGAACUCAGUUCUUUCUAUUAAGCAUGAAAAUGCUUUUGUGGAGGUUCUAGAGAUCACCGAUGUGCGUGACUCUUUGGUGGAGUUUACUGCCACCUUAGAGCUGCCCGACCACCUGGCACAGCCAUCGUUCCUAGAAUCUCCACUUCCUGCUGGGUAUGAAGAGGACCCUGGCUCUUCCCACAACAUCGGAGGGGCCAUUCCUCUUCAUGAGCCUGAGGCUGAGCCAGCAGAGACUAUCCCCAGGGAUACAGCCAGCCCCACCAAUUUCAACUGGCUUUCAUUCGUAAGUACAUUGUAUGGGUGUGAAAUAUAUACAAACACACACAUGUAAUUGUUGGAUUCUUACUAUGCUUUACCUCUGUAGGAUGCCACGGUGGAGGUCCCUGGGGUAGUUAUUACUUCAGAGGCCCUGGUGAAGAUUUGCGUGAAAGCAAAUAAAUAUGAACCACCAUACGAGCCACCAGCGAUGCCAUUUUUAUUGGGUAAGUUGGAUACACUGACAUCUUGAAAUUUAUGAAUUUAAUUAAUUAAUUAAUUUAUGGUUAAUCAUAUUAUUCUUAGUGCAUUUAUGUGAAUUGUAUGGACAUUUAUGUUUCGUUACAAUAGGAUACUUAUAUAUUUAUAGAGGAGAGUAUUUAUACUUUUUAUAAAGUGUAGGUCUAAUAUUGUUAUAUUGUAAUAAACUGUAUCAUCAUGUUGAGACUAUAUUGUUCCAUUUCUGCUUUCAUUUCAGAAGCUCCUGAUUGUGAUGCUGGCACGUCCAAUAACAGCGGACACAUUGUUCCCAAUCAGGAGCAAGAGUCUGAGCCAAAGGAAGAUAAUUCCACCUCUUCCAGUCUUCCAUCAGAACUCAACAUCUCUGAAUUUGGCUCAGAUGUUGCCAAUAAAAUACAGGGCGCAGAAGGACCAUCUACCAGCCCUGUUGAGCCCGGAUCUCCCUCACUUGAUCAAUUCAACCUGGGUCAAGUGUUGGGAGAAGGAGGAUUCGGGAAGGUAUUCCUAGCCGAGCACAAGAACACCGAAGUGCUAUAUGCCAUCAAGGCCCUGAAAAAAGAACACGUUUUGGAAAAGGGCAAUUUGGACAGGUCAGUGAUAGGGGAGAGAUUAAUAUUGGUCAUAUCUGUGUCAUCUUUUCUUGUUAUAUUCAGCUUUAUAUGUAGGACAGUUUUCUCUUUUCAUAGUUAGUAUCUGUCUUACCUCUCAUUUCUUUAAUUAACUUACAUUUGGUUAUUAUCUGCUUUAUUGCCCUGUGUCUGUUCAUAAGGAUAAAGGGUCAGUGUAAUGUUCCCUUGUGUGGGCCUCACAUGGUGAUAAUGGGAUGAUUUUCCCCACAGUGUCUUCCAUGAGAAGGAAAUCCUUCAGAGGGUAAGUUCUUCUAACCACCCGUUCCUAGUGUCAUUACAUGGAACCUUCCAGACGGCGUCUCACCUGUUCUAUGUCAUGGAAUAUCUACCUGGAGGUGACAUGUUUGACUUCAUAAGAUCGGCGGAACUAGAAGAACCUGACGUCAUGUAAGUAGAAUUGGAAUCACCUUAAUUCUCACACAUAUCAGCUUAUAUCUAUAAAAAAAUAUUAAAGUAACUGAAUUUUAUUUUUUCUCUAUUCAGGUUUUACACCGCAUGCGUUGUCCUUGGCCUGGAGGCAUUACAUCAGCUUGGCAUUGUCCAUAGGUAAGCAUUAAUAACACUAAAAUCAUCUUUAUUUCCAGAUGAAACUGGUAACACUACUAAGAACACUGCUAAUUUAGCUUAUAGCACUGUAAUAAUUUGCUUGAUGUUAUUAUAAGGAUUAUAUAUGUAUAACUACUAAACUAUUGACUUGGUUUUAAUUCAGAGAUCUAAAGCUGGAGAAUUUGCUGUUGGACCGGGAUGGCUACCUUAAGAUCGUAGACUUCGGCCUCAGCAAAGACAGAUUUGGAUACAGCGACCGCACGAACACCGUGUGCGGCACAAGAACAUACAUGGCCCCUGAGAUCUAUCUGAAACUUGGAUACGGCAUGGCCGCUGACUGGUGGGCCCUAGGAAUAACCGUUUACAUCAUGCUCCUGUAUGAGGUAAGCACAAUUCCUAUAUUAUCAUUUAUAUAAGAAAUACCCCAUGGCGCUGUACUAAGAGAUGGUAUCUGUACGACCAGCUGCA
Molecule: RNA transcript, 2428 nt
Organism: Xenopus tropicalis (tropical clawed frog)
Lineage: Eukaryota; Metazoa; Chordata; Amphibia; Anura; Pipidae
Gene name: protein kinase C-like
Exons: 6
Source: RefSeq, a predicted model, not a curated record